AGAAGGAUGAACAUUGGAGCAAGAACAAGCAUGGAGAUGAUGGCAUGCGCAAGGGGAACAAGAACGGAGUUACAUGUGAUGAUUUCAGGACGUGGAAGCCACCAUAAUGAGUGCAUGAAGCCUUGGAUGAAAUAUACAAGAUGCUACUUCAUAACUUACAUCCAGAGGCUAUUCUAGGUGUUGCGUCACCUUAUUAUUGGGUCAGGCCCAUGUAAUUUCAAAAUACAUAAGUAUAGGCUAUUUUUAGAGUUCGUAUGUGUGGGGAAACAAGAGAUAGGGUCUGUUUCGGACCCCCUCCACCAAGGGCCACGAAAUUCCCCCCUCUUCCUCCAUAUAUACAGCCCUUAGGGCACCGUUUAGACUUUGGGUUUUGUUUAGAUUAAAAGUUCACCAUAGCUGCAACUUCGCGUACUUCAUUUGUGUUCAACGACCAGACCAAGAUGUCACAGAACUCCAUCUUGAUUAAUAAAUCUUUCAUCUUAUAUUCGCAAUAUUCAGAUUGCAAUCUCAGUUUCUUGCUAGUUCUUCGUUUGCUCGCGGGAAAUAUACCCUCGUGGUCACGUUGAUCGUGCUCCGACGUGGUCAAUAACCUCUCGGAAUUGUUUUAGCGAUUGUUAAGGCACGAUGUCCUCGCACGUACGUAGUCGGAUCGUCAAAGUAUACUCCUCCAAAACGAUAAUCACCAUCUCAUCGAAAUACGGGACACCUUUGCCUCUAUCAAUUUGAUCCCAUGUGGUGAUUGGUGGUUCACCUCUUGCUUCUCGUCGCUCAAGGACUUGUUCCCACCAUAUGAGCACAUAGUCUUAGAACUCAAGUGACGCCAUGGCGAUCUUCUUCUCUUCCGCAUAGUUGUGCAAGCGAAAGAUCUUGUCGACCUUCAAUGCAAAUGAUAUGUAUUCUUCGGGAUCAUUGCUCCCGGUGAACUUGGGUAUGGUGAACUUGAGCUUGCCAUAGCUUUGCUCUUCAUUGUGUUGGGGUCAGGGAUGAUGAUGGCGCCCUUGACGUGGAUGAUUGUCAACCUCAGAUUGCUCUUGGGCUGGUUCUUGUCGAGCUUGUGGAUGAGUUUGUCGAUGUACUCUUGCUUGAUAGUUCCUCUCUUGGACUUCUUCAUGGUGCGCUUCUUGUUGCUCACGUGCAUGCUGGUUGCACGUGGCUACGGCUCGACUUGAUUCUCAGAGGGCGCAUUUGGGCUUCAAGUGAUUGAGCUUCAAGUCGUUGUUGUUCUAGACAUUGUGCCUCGGCAUCUUGUGCGUCUUGGUGUAGUCGCGCUCGCUCUUGCUCUUCUUCUUGGCAUUGGCGUUUCGUUUCUUGUUCUUGCGUGAAGGUAGCUUGAUUUUGACGAUGUCAAUGUUCUUGUGCUAGAAGUUGCUAUUGAGAUUCGAUAUCAUGAAGAGGAUUGCGAUUUGCUUGACGGUCUUGGCGCGCGGCUCGACGUAGAGUGUUUGAUGUCGGUGUACUUGAGCUGGAGAGCGUGUCGUCGGAGUGUCGACUCGAGCGGCCCCGUCUUGAGUAGGACGAAGUGGUAGAAGAGCGGUUUACCAACAAGGCAUGAAUCUCAUCCAUUCUUGCAUCGUUCUCUUGUUUGUGUGCAUCAAGCUUGUUGUCGAAGUAGUUUCUUGCUCGCUGCUCAGAGAGUUGCAAGUCGGUGGUGAGAUUGUUGACGCAGUCGCUCAUUGCUUGUUGUUCUUGAUGUAAAGCUCGUUGUGCACCAAAGAGGUGGCUCUUGGUGACAUAGGAUGACAUGUCAUCGUCUUGCUCGAUGAAGAGUGGGUUGGUAGAAGUACUUGACCUAUCCAUCAUUCCAAGCAAAUAUGUGAGUGGGAGCCAGAGAAGAACUUAUACCAAAUGUAACUUGACCGAUGUUGAAGAUGGAUCAAUUAUCACUCAAUUGUAUAUAAAGGAAAUAUCACAAUUGGUACCAAUUCUUGUCGGUGCUCACACCUACACAAGUAAAGCUUAAAGUGGAGCUCAGUUAGGAUGGUGGCACAAAAUUUCAUGCAAUUGUUAGUGAGACUCAAUAAUGUUGAAAAAGAUUUGCAAUUUGCAAAAGCACCAAGUAGACCAAUCAAGUAGUGGUACACGGAAACACACACGCAAAUAGAUAAAUGGGGAUGUGCAACCAAAAAUGAGCUUAAAAUGUGGGAUCCACGGAAAAUGCUCUUGUUGCACAACUCUAGAGAGACGGUAGCACGGUUGCACAAUAAGCGGAUACGAGACUUGUGCACAACCUACUAAGCAAAAAUGUAACGACUACUAUCCCAAGUAUGCUAUAUGUAUGGUAUUCCGAUGAUAUGAUCCAAGAUGAUAGAGUAUGACAAUCUUAAUGUUGUAUGAUGCUAUGGUUCUUGCUUAAAAGCUCUUUGCUUAUAUUUUGCUUUUGCUUAAAAGCUUGUUUGGUUCUUUCUCUUUUAAGCUCUUUUGAUGGCUACUUAUGCAAAACUACACGAACCAAGAUAGCAAUUGUGUAUAUGCUAUGAAAAUCGUGUGAUACAAUAGAUGAUACCAAGAUAUGCACCACAAUGAUAUGGUAUGUAUGCUAUGGGAAGUAUGACCACUAAUGUGCACAAGUAACAUUGCCGGCAAUACUCAAAGGCUAGUAUCGAGAGGCAAGGUACACAAAAUGGGCUAUGGUGGUUAUCAAUGCAAUGGCAAGAAUGGUGAUGUAUCUCAAUACCAAGAUGAUGAUGAGGUUACCGUUUCUUGCUUAUGGUGAAGGUGUCAAAAUGCUGAAGUGGUCGAUGUCGAGUCCUUGGCGAAGAUGAGCGGUGGUGAUGUCGAUGUAGAACCGUUCCUAGUUAGCCGAAACACCCUAGGAAACGAUGAACCACAACUCAAAUUCUCAAAGACCAAAUCUGUCCAAAUUUGUCGGAGUGCGAAACGGGUAAGCGAUGGUGGUUGCGGGAAGUGGUGGUUGCAUGCAAGUGCAUAUGCAGAAAGGUGGUAAUGGAGUGCGGUUGCUGAUGAGGACAUCAAUACCAUUGUUACACCCACAUCCCUUGCUUCUAUACAUACUGGACCAAUUACUAGAGCUCUGGUAUGCCAAUUAAAUUACCAGGUACUUUCGUUUCUUGGUAAUGAUUCUAAUGUUCAUGAGAAUAUGAUGCUGCCUAAAUUGGAUACAUUUGUUUUGCUCACAAAUGAAGGGCCUAGCUUGGAGAAGGACGAACAUUGGAGCAAGAACAAGCAUGGAGAUGAUGGCAUGCGCAAGGAGAACAAGAACGGAGUUACAAGUGAUGAUUUUAGGACCUUGAAGCCACCAUAAUGAGUGCAUGAAGCCUUGGACGAAAUAUACAAGAUGCUACUUCAUAUUUUUCGUCCAUAGGCUAUUCUAGGUGCUGCGUCACCUUAUUAUUGGG
Molecule: long non-coding RNA, 3356 nt
Filed under: Triticum aestivum (bread wheat)
Lineage: Eukaryota; Viridiplantae; Streptophyta; Magnoliopsida; Poales; Poaceae
Description: long non-coding RNA (TAES_LNC011990)
Source: RNAcentral